RNAcentral lists this non-coding RNA (30 nucleotides) under Rattus norvegicus (Norway rat). The record is from RNAcentral. Lineage: Eukaryota; Metazoa; Chordata; Mammalia; Rodentia; Muridae.
UUAUGGUUGACUAUCUUUAAGAGGCUAAGU